GCUUACGGCCACACCACCCUGAACACGCCCGAUCUCGUCCGAUCUCGGAAGCUAAGCAGGGCCGGGCCUGGUUAGUACUGGAUGGGAGACCGCCUGGGAAUACCAGGCUGUAAGUU
Molecule: ribosomal RNA, 116 nt
Filed under: Oryzias javanicus (javanese ricefish)
Lineage: Eukaryota; Metazoa; Chordata; Actinopteri; Beloniformes; Adrianichthyidae
Source: RNAcentral